UACGUAGGGUGCAAGCGUUGUCCGGAAUUAUUGGGCGUAAAGAGCUCGUAGGCGGUCUGUCGCGUCUGGUGUGAAAAUCCAGGGCUUAACCCUGGACCUGCAUUGGGUACGGGCAGACUAGAGUGCGGUAGGGGAGAUCGGAAUUCCUGGUGUAGCGGUGAAAUGCGCAGAUAUCAGGAGGAACACCAAUAGCGAAGGCAGCUCGCUGGGACGGUACUGACGCUAAGGCGCGAAAGCGUGGGGAGCGAACAGG
RNAcentral lists this ribosomal RNA (253 nucleotides) under uncultured bacterium. Its description in RNAcentral is "partial 16S ribosomal RNA". It matches the Rfam family "Bacterial small subunit ribosomal RNA", at positions 524 to 776 of the family's 1533-position model. The record is from RNAcentral.